Molecule: ribosomal RNA, 760 nt
Filed under: uncultured bacterium
Lineage: Bacteria
Description: bacterial SSU rRNA
Rfam family: Bacterial small subunit ribosomal RNA
Source: RNAcentral
CGAACGCUGGCGGCGUGCCUAACACAUGCAAGUCGUGCGAGAAACCCUCCUUCGGGAGGGGAGUACAGCGGCGCACGGGUGAGUAACGCGUAAGUUAUCUGCCCUUUGGUCUGGCAUAACUCCGGGAAACCGGGGCUAAUUCCAGAUGAUGUCGCAAGACCAAAGCCUUCGGGCGCCAAAGGAUGAGCUUGCGUCCCAUUAGCUAGUUGGUAGAGUAAUAGCCUACCAAGGCGACGAUGGGUAGCUGGUCUGAGAGGAUGAUCAGCCACAUUGGGACUGAGACACGGCCCAGACUCCUACGGGAGGCAGCAGUGAGGAAUAUUGCGCAAUGGACGAAAGUCUGACGCAGCAACGCCGCGUGCAGGAUGACGGCCCUCUGGGUUGUAAACUGCUGUAGCAGGGGAAUAACACCCGCCUUAGGCGGAUUGAAGGUACCCUGAAAGUAAGCUCCGGCUAACUACGUGCCAGCAGCCGCGGUAAUACGUAGGGAGCAAGCGUUGUCCGGAUUCACUGGGUGUAAAGGGUGCGCAGGCGGAUUGGUAAGUCAGGGGUGAAAUCUCACGGCUUAACCGUGAAAUUGCCUUUGAUACUGCCAAUCUUGAGUUCGGGAGAGGUCGAUGGAAUUCCAGGUGUAGCGGUGAAAUGCGUAGAUAUCUGGAAGAACACCAGUAGCGAANGCGGUCGACUGGCCCGUAACUGACGCUCANGCACGAAAGCGUGGGUAGCGAACAGGAUUAGAUACCCUGGUAGUCCACGCCCU